GUUGCCCUCCUGUGGACAUGCUCCAGCUUGUCCAUAUCCUUUUUGUGUUGCCCAGAAUACAACACAGUAUUCCAGGUGAGGCCUGACCAAAGCAGAAUAGAGUGCUUCUAUCACUUUCUUCGAUCCAGACACUAUACAUCUAUUGGUGCAGCCUAGGAUCCUUCCUGUUUAUCACACUGGAUUUCAUUGUGCCUCCUCUCUUCCCAUUCCCCAGCUUUUCCUUCAUGCCAGGGGGAUAAUGUGGAAUCUUAUGCUUCUUGAACUGAAUAUUGAUUGGAUGGUGAUUUUGUGUGAUAAUGGGAAGCUGAGCCAUCGCCUCCAGACAAGCAGCUCCAUCCCACACUGAGACGGAUUCAAGAAGAUGGCAGCUCUUCCAGUCUUAUUGCUGAUCAUUGCCUUGGGAGCAAAGAGUGCUCUUUCCUUGGAUUGCUACGUCUGCAAUGGCACCAAGCACAUGGGUUGCACCAACGUUAUAACUUGUUUCCCAACGGCUCAGUAUUGCACAAGAUACACAGCUACAAGCACAACUGGUUUUCAUCUUGAGCAAGGCUGUGCGGAAAAAUGUCCCAUUGCCAGAGCAACUUGGCCAUCACUCUAUACUUACACUUGCUGUCAGGAAAGCAGGUGCAACAGUGCGGCAAGCAUAAGAAGACCCAACUGUGUCCUAGCCGUGGUUGUUUUCAUCAAAACCUUAAUUGGCAUGAAGCUCUAACUUUGCAAGGAGAGAGGUAUGGAAGACUCUACCCAAGAAUGUCUACCCAAUCAGCUUCCUCUCACUCUGACAUCUUUAGCUGUGGUCUCCAGGACAAUCUCAUCUCCUACCACUUUUCAUUUCUGAGUGGUCUAGUGCAUCUUUGCUCCUUGGAAUGGAACAUAUUAGGGAUGGGCAUUUAGGAUGAACAGCCAUGGACUUUGACUUACAAGAGGAACACAUGGGGAAACUUUUGUGGCUUUGGUCAACCCACUCUGUGACAUUUCUAGUGGAGCAUCACACAAUUGGUGCCUAGGAGACUCUUCCUAAAGUGUUGCAUGAACUAGGGGCUAUACUGACCAUGGCCAGUUGAGGGACAAUUUCCCAGUGCAGAAUCCAUUGGCUUGACCCACACUUUCUCCUUGAGAUAGCCACUUAUGUAAUUGGAAAAAUAAGAGACAAUCAUGUUUACAGUCUCUCUAAUAUCUCCCCCCAUAUAUGCCUACUCCCCAAUGUACAAAACACCUUGCAAUUUUGAUCUAACCUUCUUGGAAGUCUGGUUUAAGGAGGAUUGAUUUCUCAGCAUCAUCAUUUGACCUGCAUGAACAUGUGCAUAUCUUAAGAGCAAAAGAGUUAGUUCUCCUAAAGGGAUAGGAGACCAAUUCCUUAGCAAAUAAAUAUGCAUUAUUAUAUAAUAAAAGAAUAAAUAAUAUUAAACAAGUGCAACACAUAUUCAUUUUUACUAUAAUAAAUAUAACAAACCAUUGAUUCAGUGGAUAAUUAAUUAAUUAAUUAAUUAAUACAACCUGGAGAAGGUGCGGGAAGGGCAGCUGUAAAACUGACAGUGGAUUCACUGCUUCUACCAGCCAUAAUCCACUAAUCACCCCCGAAAUCAUCAUCACUCUUGAAAUUCCUCUGGUCAGGGUCAUCCCAGACCUGAGAUUUCAGAGAUCGAAGCAAGUAGACUAACUUAAAGCUUCCUUAUCUCUCUAAGUGACAAGAGAGAAUCUCAUUUUACCUUGAUCUAGAGACAUCUUCUUUAGUUAAGAUUUCUGCCUUAAGUUCCAAACAGGAAAAUUUGUUCUACAUGUUUUGUGUUUGAAUGACAAGCCCACAGGCAGCUGUGAUUGGAACUACAGUUGGCCCACCCCAUAUGUGGGCUUUCCAUAUGCAGACUUGAGGUCAAGUGGAGGGGAAGCCCUAUUUAGAUGAAUGGUGCAUGUGUCCAUGGUGCGUGCGUUGUGCCGCAUACAGGAGCCUGUUCCAUUCAUCUAAAUGGGGCUUAAGCCCGCACUGAAUUUGCUUUAAAUGUGUGGGGUGUCCAGAACGAAUCCCCUGUGUAAAACAAGGGUCCACUGUACAUGCAUAAUGCUAAAUGACACCAGCAGAGCCUACUCCUUGGUCUCAGAUUUUGGCCUGGAAACUUUGCGGCCUGUUGGGAUGAAUGUGCCAAAUGGGUUAACAUGCAGAUCAUUGGCAGCAGUGGCAUCACUAGGAGGGUGCAGGGGGUUCAAUCCUCACUGGGUCACAUCUCAAAAGAGGGGUGACACCUGGUUGGGCACUCCUCCUGCUGCGGGGUGAGAAAUGGCAAAUGUGUGCCCCUGGAUUUGCCAUAGCGGAUAUCUCCUCCUGAGGAGGGAGCUGCUGUCUUAGAGAAGGAGAAGAGCCAACAAGUCCCCCCAGCGUUCAUCAUGGCAAUGGUCCCCUUCUGAGGAGGGAUCUGCUGUGGCAGCAAAGGAGAAGGGCCAGUGAGUCCCUCCUGGGUUCGCCUUGGCAGCACCUUCCUCAUAAGGCAGCCACCUCACUGUGGCAGUGGGACCAUCUUUGAGAGGAGAUAGAGACAGGCCAGCAUGUCCUUUUGGCUGCCGCUGCCACCCCACCAGGUCGUCCCCCUGCACCAGGUGACACCAUGGGAAUGCCACUGAUAUGCGGUAUAUGCAUUAAAAGAAAAUGCCUGUGGACAGGUGGAGUUGCAGUUCAGAUUCAGAGAUCUUUGAUAGAAUUCCCCUCCCCAAAAGAUUUCACUGCAAGAGAGCUGUAAACCUCAUGCCAACCACACAGGCAGAAAAUGCAGGCGUGUUCAGCAAAACUCUAAAGCCACGAAAGCAAAAUAAUAGAAGAAGCGGUGUUCAUAGUUCAGCCAGUUUCAGGUAAGACAUACCGAACCACCCUUCUAGUAUCAUCAUAUUA
Molecule: long non-coding RNA, 2881 nt
Organism: Sceloporus undulatus (fence lizard)
Lineage: Eukaryota; Metazoa; Chordata; Lepidosauria; Squamata; Phrynosomatidae
Exons: 3
Source: RefSeq, a predicted model, not a curated record